GCCUCGGUAGCUCAGUGGUAGAGCGCUCGCCUUGUAAGCGAGAGGUCGGGGAUUCAAUCUCCCUCCGAGGCU
This 72-nucleotide transfer RNA is filed under the name Microcaldota archaeon. Its description in RNAcentral is "tRNA-Thr". It matches the Rfam family "tRNA". Rfam says of the family: Transfer RNA (tRNA) molecules are approximately 80 nucleotides in length. Their secondary structure includes four short double-helical elements and three loops (D, anti-codon, and T loops). Lineage: Archaea; Nanobdellati; Microcaldota. The record is from RNAcentral.